This 4178-nucleotide ribosomal RNA is filed under the name Triticum aestivum (bread wheat). RNAcentral describes it as "partial small subunit ribosomal RNA". Lineage: Eukaryota; Viridiplantae; Streptophyta; Magnoliopsida; Poales; Poaceae. The record is from RNAcentral.
GGGAAAACCGCACCGAGUAGCACCAAAAUGCUCCAUUUCCCCAUCCCCCCUUCGUCCCGUUCCCCCACCCUUCUCUCGACCGUGGCCUCUCUCCGUCUCCGUCCCCCCGCUCGUCUCCUCCGCUCCAACCAAAACCAAAGCCACCCCCAGAUUUGCACCCCGGCCCCCAGGGACACCCCGAAUUCCCCGUUCCAUCCCACCACCGCGCUCGCGCGCACCGCCCGGCCGGCCUCCCGAAUUCCCACUCUCGCCCCAAAUCUCCCGGGGGCAGCGCCUCGGGCCGCGCGCGCGCGCGCUCUCUCCGCCCCCCUCCCUCCAACCUCCCUCCCCUCCCCACGCGCUCCCCGCGAUCGCAUCGCGGCAGGCCGGACAAGCGGGACCCGACAAAUCGCGCCGGGCGGGGGAAUCUAGGGUUCCGCCGGCCGCCCGGCUCACGGCUCUGGCGGUGGCGGCCGGGCCCGCGCCUCCCAGGGCGGCGCGUCGGGGGAUCUCGGGCCCCGCCGGCCAACCCUAGCGGGACCGGGCGGCCAUGGACGUGGACUCGCGCAUGACGACGGAGUCCGACUCCGACUCCGACGCGACCACCGCCGCUGCGCUGGGCCGAGGCUCGGGGAGCGAGACCUCCUCCUCGUCCGCCCCGUCGACGCCCGGGACGCCCGCGGCGGCCCCGGCCUCGCCGGCCGUCGGGGGAUCGGGGCCGAGGCCGGCGCCAGGGUACACCGCGGUGAACGCGGUGAUCGACAAGAAGGAGGACGGCCCGGGGUGCCGCUGCGGCCACACGCUCACGGCGGUGCCGGCCGUCGGGGAGGAGGGCUCGCCUGGCUACGUCGGGCCGCGGCUCAUCCUCUUCGGCGGGGCAACCGCGCUAGAGGGCAACUCUGCAACGCCUCCCUCCUCAGUUGGCAGCGCCGGGAUCCGUCUUGCCGGUGCCACAGCAGAUGUCCACUGUUACGAUGUGUUAUCAAAUAAGUGGAGCAGGCUUACUCCACUUGGUGAGCCUCCUUCACCAAGAGCUGCACAUGUAGCAACCGCGGUUGGAACCAUGGUUGUCAUUCAGGGUGGAAUUGGCCCAGCUGGUUUAUCUGCGGAGGACCUUCAUGUUCUAGAUCUUACACAACAGAGACCGCGAUGGCACAGAGUGGUGGUUCAAGGACCUGGUCCAGGUCCACGAUAUGGACAUGUGAUGGCCUUGGUUGGACAGAGGUUCUUGUUGACAAUAGGUGGAAAUGAUGGGAAGCGGCCUCUGGCGGAUGUAUGGGCUCUUGAUACGGCUGCUAAGCCAUAUGAAUGGAGGAAACUUGAACCAGAAGGUGAAGGACCACCACCAUGCAUGUAUGCCACUGCCAGUGCACGAUCUGAUGGUCUACUUUUACUCUGCGGUGGGAGGGAUGGUAAUAGUGUGCCACUAUCAAGUGCAUAUGGUCUCGCGAAACAUAGAGAUGGGCGCUGGGAGUGGGCAAUAGCCCCUGGUGUCUCUCCAUCACCAAGAUACCAACAUGCAGCUGUUUUCGUGAAUGCACGUCUUCAUGUGUCAGGAGGUGCUCUUGGAGGUGGUCGGAUGGUAGAGGACUCCUCAAGUGUUGCAGUGCUAGACACGGCUGCUGGAGUUUGGUGCGACACGAAGUCAGUUGUCACAACUCCCAGGACAGGAAGAUAUAGUGCGGAUGCAGCAGGAGGUGAUGCUGCUGUUGAACUUACACGACGGUGUAGGCAUGCAGCAGCUGCUGUUGGCGACUUAAUAUUCCUUUAUGGAGGUUUACGGGGAGGUGUAUUGCUAGAUGAUCUUCUUGUGGCCGAAGAUCUUGCUGCCGCAGAAACGACAACUGCUGCUAAUCACGCAGCGGCAAGUGCAGCAGCUACUGACACACAAGCUGGAAAGGCACCUGGAAGAUAUGCUUACAAUGAUGAACGUACAAAACAGGCAGCUUCAGAAUCAGCUCCAGAUGGAUCUGUAGUUCUUGGAACACCAGUUGCUCCUCCUCUUAAUGGGGACAUGUAUACUGAUAUUAGCCCUGAGAACGCCGUGCCGCAGGGACAGAGGAGAUCAAGUAAAGGUGUUGAUUACUUGGUCGAAGCAUCAGCAGCAGAGGCAGAGGCAAUUAGUGCUACUUUAGCUGCUGUAAAGGCUAGGCAGGUUAAUGGUGAGGCAGAAGAGUUGUCUGACAAGGAGCAGUCUCCAGAUUCUUCAUCAAGCAACAAACAUUCAAGUCUCAUUAAACCAGACACUGCACUUUCAAAUAACAUGACACCUCCACCUGGUGUUCGGUUGCACCAUAGAGCUGUGGUAGUGGCUGCGGAAACUGGAGGUGCCUUAGGUGGCAUGGUCAGACAGCUUUCGAUUGACCAGUUUGAAAAUGAAGGAAGAAGGGUCAGCUAUGGCACACCUGAGAAUGCAACUGCUGCAAGGAAGUUGCUUGACCGCCAGAUGUCCAUUAAUAGUAUUCCCAAAAAGGUGAUUGCAUCUCUGUUGAAACCUCGCGGCUGGAAGCCUCCCGUGCGAAGGCAGUUCUUCUUGGACUGCAAUGAGAUUGCAGAUCUGUGUGACAGUGCUGAGAGAAUAUUUUCAAGUGAACCAAGUGUUUUGCAACUUAAAGCUCCCAUUAAAAUAUUUGGUGAUUUACAUGGUCAAUUUGGUGACCUUAUGCGAUUGUUUGAUGAGUAUGGUUCUCCUUCAACGGCUGGAGACAUCGCGUACAUUGAUUAUCUUUUCUUGGGUGAUUACGUGGAUCGUGGGCAGCACAGUUUAGAAACUAUGUCCCUCCUUCUUGCUUUGAAGGUUGAAUAUCCGCAAAACGUACAUUUAAUUCGUGGAAAUCAUGAGGCCGCUGAUAUUAAUGCUUUAUUUGGCUUCCGAAUAGAGUGUAUAGAGCGAAUGGGCGAAAGAGAUGGCAUCUGGACAUGGCAUCGUAUGAAUAGGCUAUUUAACUGGCUUCCUUUGGCUGCACUCAUAGAAAAGAAAAUUAUCUGUAUGCAUGGUGGUAUCGGUCGCUCAAUCAACCAUGUAGAACAGAUCGAGAAUCUUCAAAGACCAAUUACCAUGGAAGCAGGCUCGGUUGUCCUCAUGGAUCUUCUAUGGUCUGAUCCAACAGAAAAUGACAGCGUUGAAGGAUUAAGACCAAAUGCUCGGGGGCCUGGUCUUGUUACAUUUGGGCCUGAUCGUGUUAUGGAGUUCUGUAACAACAACGACCUUCAAUUAAUUGUACGAGCACAUGAGUGCGUGAUGGAUGGCUUUGAGCGCUUUGCUCAAGGCCACCUGAUCACUCUUUUCUCAGCAACAAAUUAUUGCGGUACUGCAAACAAUGCUGGUGCAAUCUUAGUUUUGGGUAGAGAUCUUGUAGUUGUUCCAAAACUAAUUCAUCCUUUGCCUCCUGCAAUCACAUCACCUGAGACCUCACCAGAUCAGAUCGAAGAUACAUGGAUGCAGGAGCUGAAUGCAAAUAGGCCAGCAACUCCAACCAGGGGCCGUCCCCAAGCAGCAGCAGCGGCAACGGCAAAUGAUCGAGGUGCUCUUGCCUGGAUAUAGUAGCUUCAUCAGACAUUGGUUAAUAUGAUCCAUCUGAAGUCUCACUCAGCGGAAUCUUGCCCCUUCUCUGCACAAGAAAAUGAUUUAUGUUCAAGAGACUGGUUUUAGCCCACAGCCAUGCCAAAAUAGAAUCAUCUACAAGAAAGUGGAAGUUACUACAAAGAUGAGGAAUAUAACUUCAUCUAGGUCAGCGCUAAUUAUGAGCUCUCCAAGCUGUUUCCCUAGCAUGAGAAGUAUGGCAUAUCAACUCGAGCUUCUCUGAAGAUCCGCUGAGGCUUCACUUGUAUAUACCCAGCUUGCCGGUGGAUAUAAUGGGGUUGUAUGUGUUUUUUUUGCUUCCAAUUGGAAUGGCAAAAGGAAAUAGUGUUAUUGUACUAGGUAUUCUUUCUGUUCCCUUUUGGGGGAGGGGGUCUAGGGUUCUGAUUUUGCAAAGGUGUUGUUGAGUUGCCACAGGGACCGGAUCCUGGUCUAGUCGUGUAUAAUAGCUCUGCCUGCUACUUUUGUCCGGCAUGCCCACUGUAAUUUCAGCCUGCCGCUGAUGUGUACAAUUUUUGUCUUCAAAGUUUUGGCCGUUGAGUGGAGGUCGUGAUUUGAUUUAUUGGAGGCAAAAAGGGUGUUACUUCGUUGUUUUUGAUGUGUACGAAAUACCUUUUAC